ACAAAUGCAUAUAUUUGAACACAUGAAUAAAGUCGGUUCAUCAAUUGGCGAUCACUCUAAAAGGGUAAAUAAUUCAGAGAUCUUAGUAAGUGGAGUUUUCCAAUCUCUAGUGGAACAGACUGGAGCUGAAUCGGCUAUUAUGCUUUACAAAAUGGCGGAAGAGAGCUAUGCAAAACUACAAGCAAAGAAGAAUGCAUAGAAGCUAUCGAAUAAAAUAGUCUACCUCUUAAGCACAGUGUUUGUACUUAUUACUUGAGCGUUUUCUACUUAUAAACAUGUUUUAUUUUUACGAUAUAUCAAGAAGAGUAUUUAGUAAAUUCAUGAUUUUUGUUAUUUUUGCUAAAGGUACUUACUUUUGAGUUUUUCCGAAAUAUAUAAUAGAGUUUCGUACUUACACACAAACUCUAUUUUAGAAAAACGGUGGUUAAACGACAUAAUUGAAGGUUCUAGAAGUUUCUACUAGUAAGACUGGUAAGUGGUAGCUUGGGUUGCACUUGAUUUUAUUGAUGGUGACUCCAGGUCCCAUAACCCAGAAUAAGAUGAUAUGGUAUUCAAUUCUCGAACAUGUACCUAUUCGUUUGUUUCCCCCUUAUAUACUUAAAAGUGUAUAGUACUUAAAAGUCCAGAUUCUUAGAUUUUUGGAAGGUGGUCCCUUGAUCAAACAAACAUGACGGGAAUUCUUGGAAUUUUAUAGACAUAUUUAAAGCGAUUUAGUGGUAAAACUAAUGAUACUUACGCCAGUAGGCAAUGGUUAGUGCAUUGUAUAGCUAUAGGCGAUUAAUUUUUUAAAGAAUUUUGUAUUAUUAAACUAAGUUAUGAAGAACUUGAUUUCUUAGCGUCUAGACGAAUAGUGAUUUUUGUACUUAUUUAUUUUUCUAGUUUAUAUUGUUAAUUAAAUAUAUUUUGUGAUUAUUCAUUUUUA
Long non-coding RNA from Pieris napi, 922 nucleotides. RefSeq lists it as uncharacterized. Lineage: Eukaryota; Metazoa; Arthropoda; Insecta; Lepidoptera; Pieridae. The transcript is spliced from 3 exons. The record is from RefSeq and is a predicted model, not a curated record.